GACGAACGCUGGCGGCGUGCUUAACACAUGCAAGUCGAACGGUGAACCUCUUCGGAGGGGAUCAGUGGCGAACGGGUGAGUAACACGUGGGCAACCUGCCCCCGGCUCUGGGAUAACUCCAAGAAAUUGGGGCUAAUACCGGAUGUUCACCGCUUCCCGCAUGGGUGGUGGUGGAAAGGUCUUCCGGCGGGGGAUGGGCCCGCGGCUUAUCAUCUUGUUAGUGGGGUAGGGGCAUACCAAUGCGAGGACGGAUAGCCGGCACGAGAAGGGGACCGGGCACCAUGCGCCUGAGGCAGGGCGCAGAAUCCAAUGGGAGGCAGCAGUGGGGAACCUUGCGCAAUGGGCCGAAGCCAGACGCAGCGACGCCGGGUGGGGGAUGCCGGCCUACGGGUUGUAAACCUCUUUCAACAGGGACGAAGAGGACGUGACGGUACCUGCAGAAGAAGCACCGGCUAACUACGUG
Molecule: ribosomal RNA, 463 nt
Filed under: uncultured bacterium
Lineage: Bacteria
Description: partial 16S ribosomal RNA
Rfam family: Bacterial small subunit ribosomal RNA
Source: RNAcentral